UACGUAGGUGGCAAGCGUUGUCCGGAAUUAUUGGGCAUAAAGCGCGCGCAGGCGGUUCUUUAAGUCUGAUGUGAAAGCCCACGGCUCAACCGUGGAGGGUCAUUGGAAACUGGAGAACUUGAGUACAGAAGAGGAAAGCGGAAUUCCACGUGUAGCGGUGAAAUGCGUAGAGAUGUGGAGGAACACCAGUGGCGAAGGCGGCUUUCUGGUCUGUAACUGACGCUGAGGCGCGAAAGCGUGGGGAGCAAACAGG
RNAcentral lists this ribosomal RNA (253 nucleotides) under uncultured bacterium. RNAcentral's name for it is "partial 16S ribosomal RNA". It matches the Rfam family "Bacterial small subunit ribosomal RNA", at positions 524 to 776 of the family's 1533-position model. The record is from RNAcentral.